GUGUCAGCAGCCGCGGUAAGACGAAGGAUGCAAGCGUUAUCCGGAUUCAUUGGGUUUAAAGGGUGCGUAGGCGGCCCGGUAAGUCAGUGGUGAAAUCUCCUUGCUUAACAAGGAAACUGCCAUUGAUACUGCUGGGCUUGAGUACAGAUGCUGUGGGCGGAAUAUGACAUGUAGUGGUGAAAUACUUAGAGAUGUCAUAGAACACCGAUUGCGAAGGCAGCUCACAAAACUGUAACUGACGCUGAGGCACGAAAGUGCGGGGAUCAAACAGGAUUAGAUACCCUGGUAGUCC
Molecule: ribosomal RNA, 292 nt
Filed under: uncultured bacterium
Lineage: Bacteria
Description: partial 16S ribosomal RNA
Rfam family: Bacterial small subunit ribosomal RNA
Source: RNAcentral